This 74-nucleotide transfer RNA is filed under the name Gammaproteobacteria bacterium. RNAcentral describes it as "tRNA-Cys". It matches the Rfam family "tRNA". Rfam says of the family: Transfer RNA (tRNA) molecules are approximately 80 nucleotides in length. The record is from RNAcentral. RNAcentral also lists the same sequence under 1 other name. Lineage: Bacteria; Pseudomonadati; Pseudomonadota; Gammaproteobacteria.
GGCUGGGUGGCAGAGUGGCCAUGCUGCGGACUGCAACUCCGCCUACGCCGGUUCGAUUCCGACCCCAGCCUCCA